Molecule: long non-coding RNA, 2179 nt
Filed under: Homo sapiens (human)
Lineage: Eukaryota; Metazoa; Chordata; Mammalia; Primates; Hominidae
Description: HSALNT0269538
Source: RNAcentral
GGGGGUUCAGGCCAGUGUUGAGAGGGUCUAGGCCAGUGUAGAGGGGGUCCAGGCCAGCGUGGAGGGGUGGUACCCCAAUAGUCUAGGGCACUGGCUCUCCACUGGGGCCAUUCUGCUCCUCAGGGGAUGUUGGGCAAUGUCUAGAGACAUUUUUUCUUGUCAUAGUGGUGGUGUGCUACAGGCACCUGAUAGGCAGAGGCCAGGGGUGCUGCCAAGCAUCCUGCCAUGUCCCCACAGCGGAGAAAGAUCUGGCCCCAAAUGUCAAAGGGGUGGCGGUUGAGAAAGCCCGGCCUAGCGGGAGGAGGUGGUGGCGAGCAGGGCGACAGUGGUGGAGGAAAGUGAUGUGCCCCGUUCUGGGAUCCAGGGUGCAUGGAGCAUGGAUGAGGAGUCACUUGGCAUUCUGCUCUGAGUAUUUAAGAGUGACCCAUGAGAGCUGUAAACUCAAGUCUCAAGUGUGGGUGACCUCCAACACCCAGGCAAGGGUUCGCCUAGCAUGAGCUCCGCUGCCGAGCGCAGUGUCUGCAGGACUAUUCUGCACACAUCUUUGGCAGUGCCCCCAUGUGGUGGCAAGAUGCCCCGGCAUCAGUGACCUUCGGCAGUCAACCCCCAGCAGUGGGUUAAGGAAGACUUCGGUGUCCUUGGAAGAUUGAAAACGAGAGAGGACUCGAGAAGGGGGUUCUGGGCUUCUUGCUAAUAGAGAAUCUGGGUACCUGAGUGAUUAAGGAGCAAAGGGACACAGUCAUCUGGGGAUCAUAAAUUGAUGGAGUGGCUUAUUCUGACUUCAUUAGGAGUUCCCAGGAGAGCCAGGGAAAGGGGAGGAGGAUUGCUGGGUUCAGGAAAGGCACCUGUCACACGCGUGCCUCACUGACUUGCUCGUUGCUCCAAGAACAUAGUCAAUGCUCCCUCUUCUUUGCAUCUCCAGCUUCAGUGCUCUUCAGUUUGUCAGGCGCCUGCAGUCCCAACCCUGGGAGAGCACUCCUCAGCUGGCAGGCUCCAAAAUACCCAGGACGAGGGGAAGGCAGGAAUGGCGUGGAUGGGGCGGGAGGCUUUCCCCAUCUCCCCCAGCUUCAAGCCCUUGUCUCCCCUUCCUACUUAGAAGAUGCUUCCAAUGUGGGCCUGCCAGCUCCAGCUGACAGCACCAGGCACUGUCCCAGACACCACCUGAAAAACAAUCAAAGGCAGUGAACAAACCAUGAAUCCCUCAGGAAAUACAGACAGUUAAACAGUACACGGAGGAAUGCACAGCCUUGCUGAUCGAAUGAGAAAAAAAAAUCGAUAAAACAAGCCCAGUGCUGCAAAGGAUGCGGGGAAAAUAACACAUCCCUUUGCUGUAAACAGAUUCCGAUUUUGAAGAUGCUUCUGUCUGCAUGGAAAAAGCCCCACGCAGCUGCCUGACCCCCCGACCUCGAAUAUUAUCUUGAGGCGGGGUUCUGCAUCUGAGGAAAUAACCCUCAGCAGGAAAAGCGUUCACAGCAACCUUAUUUAAACUGAGAGGUGGAAAAAAGAAAACAACCCAGACGUCCCUUGCUCACACUUGUGGAGCGCUCACACUACGCGAGGUGCCGGACACGCAUUAGCUCUUUGAUCCUUUCCACUGCUCUGUGAGUUGUGGUUUAUGAACCUCCCAUUUUACAAUAAGCAGGGGACACAACAGAGGCCAGCCCUCCCUCCACAGCCGCUCAGGGGCUCAGAGCUGAGGCACCUCAGCGCCACCUGGAGCUUGGGUUCCCCUCCCUCCAAGCUGUUUCUUAGCAACAUGAGGCAACCUUGUCUGCGAAAGAGGAGGUGACCGCAGCUCCUGGGGAUGUGCCAACUCUGGGAUGUGACGGGAAGACAAAGGGCUUCUGUCCCCUUCUGCCUGGCGGUAAGAGAGCCGGCCGCCCGGCAGGCAUGCCCCAGCCUGUGGUUCUGGAAUGCGGGCAAGCCACCGUCCCCAGAGACCUGUGUUGGUGGCCAGGCCAGCCCACACACCCGAUUGGCACAUACUCUUGUGCUUGCCCAGGAGCGGAGUCAGACCAUUCACGCUGCCUUCAUGGGAGUUGAACAGUUGAACUGAUGCCCUUAAACCCAGUGUUUCCCUCUGGGAAGACGCCCGGGGGCCUCGUGGUUGUAGGUGCUGGAAGGAUAGCUCCAGCUCCAGGCACCUGCCACAUAAAGGCCAGCAGAUGCCCAAGUCUCU